GGAUGGGUAGCCUAGCGGCGACGGCAGGAGACUGUAAAUCUCUGACAUCAGAAACAUCGUAGGUUCGAGUCCUACCCCAUCCA
This 83-nucleotide transfer RNA is filed under the name Lachnospiraceae bacterium. RNAcentral's name for it is "tRNA-Tyr". It matches the Rfam family "tRNA". Rfam says of the family: Transfer RNA (tRNA) molecules are approximately 80 nucleotides in length. Their secondary structure includes four short double-helical elements and three loops (D, anti-codon, and T loops). The record is from RNAcentral. Lineage: Bacteria; Bacillati; Bacillota; Clostridia; Lachnospirales; Lachnospiraceae.